This is a long non-coding RNA of Frankliniella occidentalis (western flower thrips), 480 nucleotides long. RefSeq lists it as uncharacterized. The transcript is spliced from 4 exons. Lineage: Eukaryota; Metazoa; Arthropoda; Insecta; Thysanoptera; Thripidae. The record is from RefSeq and is a predicted model, not a curated record.
UCCCGCGCCUUGCCUUUAUGGAAACGUAAACAAACAGUAAACAUCGGUGUCAUGAUCGGCGCCCUCUGCCCAAUACCGAUAAUAUCUACUCAUUUAAUUGAUUAUAGGAUUUUAAUAAUCAGAGUUUUAAAGUGGACAUCGCCGAUUUUCUAUAUAAAUCGCAAGGAACUAUCGGACUAGAAAUGUUCUUGACAUGAGCAAAGAAGUCUCUGCGGAGUCAUUUUACCCAAAGGAAUAGGAAGAUCGGCCUGAGGUGUACCUGUCCUGGACAUCAGUCGUGCAGCCAGUGGAAUCAUCAGAUACUAGUUGUGUUGGCAUUGCAGCACACAGCAGGAGAAAUGGCCCCUUUUUCUCAUGAUCGCAGGAAUGAAUCUGGUACUUAGAUUCGCCCAAAGUCACGAGCAGAAACAAGCCAGCUAGUUAAACAAGAUGUUCUCUCAUAAUGUAAAUGAUUUGAAACAAUAAAAAAUUAAAAUACUA